RNAcentral lists this long non-coding RNA (1033 nucleotides) under Setaria viridis. Its description in RNAcentral is "long non-coding RNA (SVIR_LNC010279)". The record is from RNAcentral. Lineage: Eukaryota; Viridiplantae; Streptophyta; Magnoliopsida; Poales; Poaceae.
UUGCUUUAACACCCUCCAUGAAAAGCUGCAGUAGCAAUUCAGUACUAAGGUAUUACUUAUCCAAAAAAUGGUAUGCUUUUGCUUUAACACCCUCCAUGAAAAGCUGCAGUAGCAAUUCAGUACUAAGGUAUUACUUAUCCAAAAAAUGGUAUGCUUUUUCUUAACACCCUCCAUGAAAAGCUGCAGUAGCAAUUCAGUACUAAGGUAUUACUUAUCCAAAAAAGGGUAUGCUUCUUACAACUUCAUAAAUGGAGAUAGUUCUCAUCAUAAUAAAUUCAAAAGAACCUAGGUCUAAUCGUCAAAUUUGUUGAAAUGCUCAAUACAAUUUUCUCAACUUCUCAGUUAACAAUCAAUACAUCAUAAGUAGCCAAGUUUCGCUACCAGAAAGAUCACAUUGAGAUUAAGAUCACAAAAACAUUAACUCAACUAUGAUGCCUUAUCAUCUCAUGACGGUUAUAUGCUAAGACAUCUUAAACAGAUUAAUUGAGAAAAACUUAAGUGAUAAUGCAUAUUAGUUUUUUAGGGACCUUGGUAACCCACUAAUCUAAGUCCAAAAGAACCAGCACAAGUCACCGAUAAGGAAAAUAAGAGAAAGCAAAGGGAAGUAGAAGAUCUUGGCAUUAUUCCUACUUCAAACAAUGGCACGCAUAUCUCCAGCACAUUCAAUGAAACGAAACUAGAACAGAGAGCCCAGGACUAUUGCUCACAAUGCUUAGCUCCUGUGUUACAAUCUGCUGAUCAAAAUCAUGGUAACCACAAUUUCCAGGUGAAUCCCAGUAAUGCCCCUUUCUUUAGGAACUCUACAUUAUUCAACUUCGCAGGUUGCCAAAUUCCUUUGGCCCAGAACCUAUCUCCAUCGUCAGCAAGUAAUACAAAUCCAGGAAACCACCAUUGUUUCCAUAGCCGUUGGAGCUUAUUUGCCAGGGUUUAAAGCCUCAUGUAUUGGUUAUUGCUUUCCUAAUUUGGUUUAAAUUAACAGCAGGUCAAUGCAGUACCAGGUCCCUACAGUCUUUUUUAUUGAGAGGAAGUCCCU